CCUACGGGAGGCAGCAGUGGGGAAUAUUGGACAAUGGGCGAAAGCCUGAUCCAGCAAUGCCGCGUGAGUGAUGAAGGCCUUAGGGUUGUAAAGCUCUUUUACCAGGGAUGAUAAUGACAGUACCUGGAGAAUAAGCUCCGGCUAACUCCGUGCCAGCAGCCGCGGUAAUACGGAGGGAGCUAGCGUUGUUCGGAAUUACUGGGCGUAAAGCGUACGUAGGCGGUUAUUCAAGUCAGAGGUGAAAGCCUGGAGCUCAACUCCAGAACUGCCUUUGAAACUAGAUAGCUAGAAUCUUGGAGAGGUGAGUGGAAUUCCGAGUGUAGAGGUGAAAUUCGUAGAUAUUCGGAAGAACACCAGUGGCGAAGGCGACUCACUGGACAAGUAUUGACGCUGAGGUACGAAAGCGUGGGGAGCAAACAGGAUUAGAUACCCUGGUAGUCCACGCCGUAAACGAUGAUAACUAGCUGUUCGGGCUCUACGAGCUUGAGUGGCGCAGCUAACGCAUUAAGUUAUCCGCCUGGGGAUACGGUCGCAAGNUUAAACCUUAAUGAAUUGACCGG
Molecule: ribosomal RNA, 560 nt
Filed under: uncultured bacterium
Lineage: Bacteria
Description: bacterial SSU rRNA
Rfam family: Bacterial small subunit ribosomal RNA
Source: RNAcentral